UCGAGGAUCUUCGGCAAUGGGCGCAAGCCUGACCGAGCGACGCCGCGUGUGCGAUGAAGGCCUUCGGGUUGUAAAGCACUGUCGAGGGGAAGAAAGCCGCAAGGUUGAUCGACCCCUGGAGGAAGCACGGGCUAAGUUCGUGCCAGCAGCCGCGGUAAGACGAACCGUGCGAACGUUGUUCGGAUUCACUGGGCUUAAAGGGCGCGUAGGCGGGUGAUCAAGUCAGGGGUGAAAUCUUUCGGCUCAACCGGAAAAGUGCCUUUGAUACUGGUCAUCUCGAGGGAGGUAGGGGCAUGUGGAACUUCCGGUGGAGCGGUGAAAUGCGUAGAUAUCGGAAGGAACGCCGGUGGCGAAAGCGACGUGCUGGACCUUUUCUGACGCUGAGGCGCGAAAGCCAGGGGAGCAAACGGGAUUAGAUACCCCCGUAGUCC
RNAcentral lists this ribosomal RNA (431 nucleotides) under uncultured bacterium. RNAcentral's name for it is "bacterial SSU rRNA". It matches the Rfam family "Bacterial small subunit ribosomal RNA", at positions 355 to 796 of the family's 1533-position model. The record is from RNAcentral.